This 520-nucleotide ribosomal RNA is filed under the name uncultured Glomus. RNAcentral's name for it is "SSU rRNA". It matches the Rfam family "Eukaryotic small subunit ribosomal RNA", at positions 569 to 1092 of the family's 1831-position model. Lineage: Eukaryota; Fungi; Glomeromycota; Glomeromycetes; Glomerales; Glomeraceae. The record is from RNAcentral.
AGCAGCCGCGGUAAUUCCAGCUCCAAUAGCGUAUAUUAAAGUUGUUGCAGUUAAAAAGCUCGUAGUUGAAUUUCGGGAUUAGUGCGCCGGUCGUGCCUUCGGUAUGUACUGGUGUUACUGGUUCCUACCUUCUGACGAACCGUCAUGUCAUUAAUUUGGUGUGGCGGGGAAUCAGGACUGUUACUUUGAAAAAAUUAGAGUGUUUAAAGCAGGCUCGCGCUUGAAUACAUUAGCAUGGAAUAAUGAAAUAGGACGUUCGAUCCUAUUUUGUUGGUUUCUAGGAUUGACGUAAUGAUUAAUAGGGAUAGUUGGGGGCAUUAGUAUUCAAUUGUCAGAGGUGAAAUUCUUGGAUUUAUUGAAGACUAACUACUGCGAAAGCAUUUGCCAAGGAUGUUUUCAUUAAUCAAGAACGAAAGUUAGGGGAUCGAAGACGAUCAGAUACUGUCGUAGUCUUAACCAUAAACUAUGCCGACUAGGGAUCGGAUGAUGUUAUUUUUAAUGACUCAUUCGGCGCCUUACG